Molecule: unclassified non-coding RNA, 253 nt
Filed under: soil metagenome
Description: partial internal transcribed spacer 1
Source: RNAcentral
ACGAAUAACUAUGGUGUCUUGGUUGUAGCUGGCUCCUCGGAGCAUUGUGCACGCCCGCCAUUUUUAUCUUUCCACCUGUGCACCGACUGUAGGUGUCUGGAUAACCCUCGUCUUCCUCUCUGGAGGAAGGCGGAUGCGAGGAUUGCCCGUGAGGGCUCUCCUCGAAUUUCCAGGCUCCUACGUCUUUUACACACCCCAACAGUAUGAUAUAGAAUGAUAGUCAAUGGGCUUUGACAGCCUAUAUAACACUAUA